Molecule: transfer RNA, 73 nt
Filed under: Solirubrobacterales bacterium
Lineage: Bacteria; Bacillati; Actinomycetota; Thermoleophilia; Solirubrobacterales
Description: tRNA-Thr
Rfam family: tRNA
About the family: Transfer RNA (tRNA) molecules are approximately 80 nucleotides in length. Their secondary structure includes four short double-helical elements and three loops (D, anti-codon, and T loops).
Source: RNAcentral
GCCCGUCUAGCUCAACCGGCAGAGCACUUCACUUGUAAUGAAGGGGUUGGGGGUUCGAGUCCCCCGGCGGGCU